GACAGAGGUCCCGAGCGUUAGGCGGAAUCACUGGGCUUAAAGCGUGUGUAGGCGGAUUUGUAAGUACCUUGUGAAAUCCCACGGCUCGACCGUGGAACUGCUUGGUAUACUGCUUAUCUUGGGCCAGCUAGGGGCUACCGGAACAAGUGGUGGAGCGGUGAAAUGCGCAGAUAUCGGGAGGAACACCGGUGGCGAAGGCGGUUCUCUGGGCCUUACCUGACGCUGAGGAGCGAAAGCGUGGGGAGCGAACAGG
RNAcentral lists this ribosomal RNA (253 nucleotides) under uncultured bacterium. RNAcentral describes it as "partial 16S ribosomal RNA". It matches the Rfam family "Bacterial small subunit ribosomal RNA", at positions 524 to 776 of the family's 1533-position model. The record is from RNAcentral.